Dama dama (fallow deer) is the source of this 73-nucleotide non-coding RNA. NCBI's taxonomy places the organism in Eukaryota, Metazoa, Chordata, Mammalia, Artiodactyla, Cervidae. The record is from the annotation of a RefSeq genome assembly.
UCCCUGGUGGUCCAGUGGUUAGGGCUUGGCACUUUCACUGCUGAGGGCCCAGGUUCGAUCCCUGGUUAGGGAA